This 301-nucleotide ribosomal RNA is filed under the name uncultured Thermus sp. RNAcentral's name for it is "bacterial SSU rRNA". The stretch from base 54 to 301 matches the Rfam family "Bacterial small subunit ribosomal RNA", at positions 547 to 795 of the family's 1533-position model. The record is from RNAcentral. Lineage: Bacteria; Thermotogati; Deinococcota; Deinococci; Thermales; Thermaceae.
UGUCACAUGGAGCGCGGACAGCUCGGUGAAUGCGGGGGCUCCGUGCGGUAAGCGGCGUGACGGUGCGUAAGGUGUGCGCUGGGGUUUUGUGAAGCGAGGUGUGAAAGCCAGUGGCUCAACCUAGGAAUAGCAUGUCGAACUGGCGAACUAGAGUCGUGUAGAGGGGGGUAGAAUUCCGGGUGUAGCGGUGAAAUGCGUAGAGAUCUGGAGGAAUACCGGUGGCGAAGGCGGCCCCCUGGACAAAGACUGACGCUCAUGCACGAAAGCGUGGGGAGCAAACAGGAUUAGAUACCCGUGAGUC